AAGUAAGAAGCAAUUACUUGCAUUUAGUUUCGACCUAAACCUUUGAUAUCUUAUCCUUACUUU
This 63-nucleotide transfer RNA is filed under the name Coleoptera sp. 25 KM-2017. RNAcentral's name for it is "tRNA-Arg". The record is from RNAcentral. Lineage: Eukaryota; Metazoa; Arthropoda; Insecta; Coleoptera.